This is a long non-coding RNA of Mytilus trossulus (common blue mussel), 1427 nucleotides long. RefSeq lists it as uncharacterized. Lineage: Eukaryota; Metazoa; Mollusca; Bivalvia; Mytilida; Mytilidae. The transcript is spliced from 3 exons. The record is from RefSeq and is a predicted model, not a curated record.
AAUAUUUCUAUUAUAUUUUCAUAGAUUGAAUGAUUUUUGGUAUGAAAGGUUAUUUUUCUCUACGAUCCCGAAAAGUAUUAUCGCAACAUAAAAUGCAUAUAUUAUACACUUGUUUUAUUAUAUAAAGUACUGGUAGUCAUUCGUUAGAGCUAUAUGUAAAACAGUUUAGAAAGUACACACAUUCCGAUCGAUACUUUGAGGUGUAUUCGAUAAGACUUUGUUAUGAGUAGAUUUUAAAUACCACCGUGUAUUAGUUGUGUGAACUAGUCCGUACACAAUAACAUUGUUGAUAGAUUAUAAAUAGAAAACAUAAACAAAGUUGUAUUAGAUAGCGAACUACGUUUCUGCACAUAUUUAAAGUAUUGUCCGAGUUAUGUUUAUUGUAUACACAAGGACAUUAUUUAUAUUGUAUGUUUUAUAAUAAGGUCUAUGUUUAAAUACGGUUUCAUUAAAAUCCGUUAUUUAACAUUGUAAUUUUGGUUUACAGAACUUGUAAGCUGUCAUAUAGAUAUCACUUUGUGAUAUAACAGUAUGUACGUUUGAAUUGGUUUGUGCCACGACAGUAACAACCUUGCUCCACAAGUUGGGUGUUUUACGUUACUGAUUAAUAAAUAUCCUGAACCCUAGCAAACUGACUUUAGUUAUCCUUGAGGUCUAAAAGUCAGCUAUUACAUUUGGCGCCCACUACCGGUUUUGAUGGCACAGAUCACCGCUAGGAGCAAUCUGAUGAGCUUACCUACGAUGUCAAUAGUUACCACGUGUUUCCGGAAGUAUGGUUUGUUGUGAUCACAUGAGAUGUCCACCACGUGUUGUUUAUCAGCAAAAGAACUACAUGUGCGUGUUACCGGAUGUUUACAUUCUACACCGAAAGACAACAGUACAGUUCAGUACAUGUGUUCCGGAAAUUACUUUAAAUAGUAAUCGAACUUUUAGGUUUUCAAUUUUGGAAAUAGAACUUAGUUAUUUUGUGAUUGUGAAUUUGAAAUUUAUUUGAUUUUGAUAUCAUUGUUUAACAUUGAUCUGAAGUUGAUACUGUGGAAUACUUAGUGCAUAUUGAAGAACUUGUAAGCUGUCAUAUAGAUAUCACUUUGUGAUAUAACAGUAUGUACGUUUGAAUUGGUUUGUGCCACGACAGUAACAACCUUGCUCCACAAGUUGGUAAGGAUUAGUAAUAUGUUAUUAGAAUUAUAAUGUAUUUCGUUUAAAAGGUUGAAUUAACUAUGGAGUAUGUUAAGCACAUAGUUUUGAUAAAGAGUUAUUUCCCUUGAUUUUAGAUGCUUUUAAUAUUUGUUUAAUUUAUCAAUGUUGUUAAUCUGAACAACUAAAUAUUAUAUGUAAAGACAUUAAUACUAUGAUUUGAUGAUUAAACAUAAUAUUUGAUCUCAUUAUGUUCAUAACUUAAAUGUAUUUUUGAAGUGCAAUGUUUU